Long non-coding RNA from Serinus canaria (Common canary), 2162 nucleotides. RefSeq lists it as uncharacterized. The record is from RefSeq and is a predicted model, not a curated record. Lineage: Eukaryota; Metazoa; Chordata; Aves; Passeriformes; Fringillidae. The transcript has 4 exons.
GUAAUUAAAAAAGAACUUCUAGCUCAGCGUUCCUUUCCCUCUUUCUCUCUUAAGGGGCAAGAGGAGGGAAGCGAGGGGGAGAAGGAUGUUUUUUCUCUUUGCCGAGUCCAACAUUUGGCUUUUUCCAUUUGUGGCAGAUCACUGUAACGCUAUUGUAAAACAACUUCCUGCCCCUUUUGGCUCACGUUCCAGAAGCUGCUAGGCUAAGUUCAUAGCACAAACUUUUUUCCCCCUUGCCGAAGAAGAUAGACAAAAAAAAAUUCCUGCAAAUUAUUUUCCCCCUUUUCUGGCUCAUGGACUCACAAGGUGAAUUUAUUGCAGCUCUUUAAGAAUAUUACACAAGAGACGUCGGUAUCCCAGCUGGAUAAUUCAUAAGAUGAAAAGGAGAUCAUAUUGCAACAUUCUCCGAGGGAAGAACCUGGGUGCCACCAUAACAAAUCAACAAAAACUUUCAGGAAUAUGCAAUAAUAUCAGAGUAUGAAUUCUGGCUGUCACCUGCUGGGUGGCUCCAGCAAGAAGAAUUUAUCCAGGCACAAAUCAGGCCAGGAUCCUUCAGACACCCCUGGAAGCAAAGCUCUGAAUGGGAUAAAUCCAGAAAUCACAGGCAAUAUGCCUUCUGCAGUUAAAUGGGAGAAUAUUUAGAAAGAAAAUAGCUUUUCAAGGUGAAUGAGUUUGGCAAGAACUCACUGCAAAGAGAUGGAACCAUAAAUUCCUUUUUGCACAGCACAGGAGACCUUGAGCCCCAAAGGCAGCUGAGUCUUUGGCAGAAUAAGCUUCUUCUACAUUGCAGCAAAAUGAUGCCAACAGCAAGGACCUUGCACUGAGUGUGGUCAGGUGCCACCUUCCAGGAGGACACAUGGUUUGUUUUGGUGAAGAGCAAACAGUUGCCUGAAUAUAUGCUAGACACAAAUUACUGAAACUCUGAUGAUAUGGGCAAAAUGUUGCUAUUUCAAACACUAAGAACAGCAUCUUCUCAAUGGAAUGGUGGUGGCCUUUUGGGGUGAAAUGUUCUUUGCACACUGCUACAACCUGAAACCAGCCCUGCUCAGGGCAAGCUUGACCAAGGCUAACAAAAUUAUUCCAUGAGAAAAACAGUUAAAGUAGUCUAAACAAAAUCUGUAAAGGACUCGAGUAAUAUUUUAAGGCAUUAUUCUGAUAUGGAGAAAGAAAAAUUAAAGUUCCUCCCUACAAAGUGUUUUUUUCAUUCUUGCAUCAUCUCAGCACUUCUGUUUCAACAGAAAUAUACUUACAAAAAUCUGCUAAAAUCACAUUCCGGAAUCCUAAAUGACCUAUGUGGAAGAAAUGUCGUAAAUCAUCAGGAACUGCUGGCUAAUGUGUGAACAUUUUCAAUGAAAAAACCCAACAAAAACAAACAGAAGAACCUGAAUGUGAAAGCAGCUCUUUCAUUUUCCUACAGAAUGCUGGAUUACUUCUGAUAAAACUUGUAAUUUAUAAAAAUCUGUUUCUUUGGAGAAGGUACAACUCACCCAUCUGUACUCUCAUAAUUCAGAAAAAAAUGAACCUGGUAAGUGAUUUAUUGAUGAAAAAGUAGGAAAAUUAGGAGUUAAACCUCCUAUGUUCACAAUGGACACUGUUAAUUUUGAAAGGUGAAAAGGCAAGUGGGAGAAAAAGGAGCUUAGAAGAUGAGAAGGUACUGGAGCUUCCUUCUUAAUGUCAUUUCCAACACUCAGAUGCAGGUAAUCCUCUGUGUAAAAGUCAUAUUAUCCUUAUCUAAACCUUGUAACAGCAGUAUUCAUAUCUUCCAGAACAAGACAUACACUCUUAGAAAGUAAGGGGUAUUGACUGAUACCCAAGUAGAAAAAUAAUGGAAGAAGUGGGAUAAACCCCCAGACAUUCCUCUUUCAAUGGAUUAAAAAAGUCAAAAUCAACCACCCCUAAAUUUAAACCAACCUAUCCAAGUGUCAUUUCCUAGCUUUGGUUUCUUUUUGUCACAACACUGUUACUGAAAGGUGGAUUUUGGUUGAUGAAUUUACUUGUAGCACAGGACUGUAUGACAAGCAAUGCUUCUGCAUUUUGUCGUAUGUCAUUAGUUUCCUCCCCAUAAACCAUUCAGGCUGUCACUCAAAGAUACCUUCCAUGUGGUUUUUUUAGUCUCAAUAGAUUAAGUUUUGAAUUAUUUUAAAAUAAAGAGUGAAAAAUGA